This is a non-coding RNA of Schistosoma mattheei, 45 nucleotides long. NCBI's taxonomy places the organism in Eukaryota, Metazoa, Platyhelminthes, Trematoda, Strigeidida, Schistosomatidae. The record is from Rfam.
AUGCAGCUGACGAGUCCCAAAUAGGACGAAACGCGCAUCCUGGAU